GCGUUGAUUACUUUCCGUAGACAGAGAUGGCGGCAGCGGCAAGCAGUCCAGAUGGAGAUAGAGAUGGAUCUUUUUUAAGGGAAAAUGAAGACUUUGGCGGAGAAGGACAUUCGGAAACACCUCAGGAGUGUGCAGCGGCAAAAUGUCUGGACCAGAAACCCGUGUGUCUCAUCGUGCUCGGCAUGGCCGGGUCUGGGAAAACCACUUUUGUUCAGCGACUUACAGCCUACCUUCACACCAAAAAGUCUCCUCCUUAUGUGAUAAAUCUUGACCCCGCAGUUCACGAGGUUCCUUUUCCAGCAAAUAUUGAUAUUCGUGACACUGUCAACUACAAAGAAGUCAUGAAGCAAUAUGGCUUGGGCCCUAAUGGUGGAAUAGUCACAUCUUUGAACCUGUUUGCAACCAGAUUUGACCAGGUUAUGAAGUUCAUUGAGAAAAAACAAAAUAAUCACAAGUAUGUUCUGAUCGACACACCAGGGCAGAUAGAAGUGUUCACGUGGUCGGCUUCCGGAACCAUCAUCACGGAAGCUCUGGCGUCCUCCUUCCCCUGUGUUGUCGUGUAUGUGAUGGACACGUCCCGGAGCGUCAACCCUGUGACGUUCAUGUCCAACAUGCUGUAUGCCUGCAGCAUUCUGUACAAGACCAAGCUUCCCUUCAUUGUGGUUAUGAAUAAGACGGACAUAAUCGAUCACAGUUUUGCAGUGGAGUGGAUGCAGGAUUUUGAAGCGUUUCAGGAUUCCCUAAACCAGGAGACAUCUUACGUCAGCAAUCUGACUCGCUCUAUGAGUUUGGUCCUGGAUGAGUUCUACAGCAAUCUGCGGGUGGUUGGAGUGUCUGCUGUUACAGGCAGUGGGCUGGAUGAGAUGUUUGUGCAGGUGUCGGAGGCUGCGAAAGAGUACGAAACGGAAUAUCGGCCAGAAUAUGAAAGACUUCGCGGAGAGUUGAUUGAAGCCCAGAACAAAAAACAGCAAGAACAGCUAGAACGACUAAGAAAGGAUAUGGGAGCUGUUCCCAUGGAAACCUGCACUCAAACAGAAGCUUCAGAGCAGAGUGGGCCCAGCGACCUCAUCUUCACCCGGGGGAAUGUGGGUGACAGGGAUGAGGACGUCGACAGUGACACUGAUGAUAUUGACCAUACAGCCACAGAUGAGAGCAAAGAGGUCACAGCCUUCAAGAAUUUCCUGCAGGAGCGGAGAGAUGUGGUCAAUAUUCGCAACAAGAAGCUAUGACAUGAGCCAGCUGGACACCGGAGCUUUCUAUUCUGGAAAUGUGUAUAUGCUUCACCCCCACCCCAUUAACCAAGAUUCCAAAGCUCCACCCCCACGUCUUCCUCCUCUACUCCACAUUCUCGCCUCCGGUGAGGGCGGGGGCAGGGCUGCGUGCCCACGGCAGCCUUGCAGCUGGAUGACAUCAUCUCGGCAGUGCAAGCCAAGCAGCAAAACAAGACGACGUGUGUCUCCCUAAAUGUGGCCACUCCCCCCCACUCCGCCCAUCCAUAAGUGAACUAAACCUUGAAACACUGCAUGCAUUGCAUUGCACUGCCAACUUCUGUUACCUUAUAUCUCGCAUGCUGCUCUUAUGCGAUUCGUUGUUUUAAUCGCAAGUCUUGGAGCCACUUUAUCCUGCUUUUUAGGCCUGAUUGCUGUGUUUCUGCAUUCAUUUUUGUUUUUAGAAUUGCGACGAUAGAGUAAUUUAUCUCAUCAUCCUCCCUUAAUACAUUAGUAAGCUCCUGUAAAUUAUUUUAAAGUGGUUUUAUUGCGGAUGUAAGGUUUGUUGUAAAUGUUGCACGAUGCCACGUUCACACUGGACAUGCGCUGACAGAGACCCCGGAGAAUAAGCCUGAAAUGUUUUGUCCUCACAUUACCUGUGUUCAUUCAUUUUCUCCUGGGAUGCAUCAUGCAAAACAGCUUCAGAUACUGUCUACAAGACCUCAUUCACAUGCUUUACUGCUUUUAUUUUAUUUUUCGUCAGUUUACUUGUCAUUGUGGCAGACUAUUUAACCAAAAACAACUUGUUAUAAAAUAUGCUAAAAACAUAAUUUAUGACAUAUACAAGACAUUUAAACCUCACAAGCAGUGUCUAAUCAAUGCAGCAAAGCUCUGAUUAAUGUUUUGUGACAUGACUGUUGCAAGCAUUUACAGUAAAGACCAUUCUUAUAUUAAAAUGUCAGAAGUCUCAUUACGUAUCAUAAACUGCAGUGUCUGUGUUUUAUUGUUGUGAAUUGAAAUAUUAAAGAACUGUAAUCAAAA
Molecule: RNA transcript, 2249 nt
Organism: Brienomyrus brachyistius
Lineage: Eukaryota; Metazoa; Chordata; Actinopteri; Osteoglossiformes; Mormyridae
Gene: gpn1
Gene name: GPN-loop GTPase 1
Exons: 16
Source: RefSeq, a predicted model, not a curated record